UCAGAGAUAGUGUAAUGGUAGCACAGCUGAGUUCCAAAGCUGCUAGUUCAGGUUCAAAUCCUGAUCUCUGAC
Molecule: non-coding RNA, 72 nt
Organism: Blepharisma stoltei
Lineage: Eukaryota; Ciliophora; Heterotrichea; Heterotrichida; Blepharismidae
Source: the annotation of a GenBank genome assembly